RNAcentral lists this ribosomal RNA (2095 nucleotides) under Salmonella enterica. RNAcentral's name for it is "partial 23S ribosomal RNA". The record is from RNAcentral. Lineage: Bacteria; Pseudomonadati; Pseudomonadota; Gammaproteobacteria; Enterobacterales; Enterobacteriaceae.
GGUUAAGCGACUAAGCGUACACGGUGGAUGCCCUGGCAGUCAGAGGCGAUGAAGGGCGUGCUAAUCUGCGAUAAGCGCCGGUAAGGUGAUAUGAACCGUUAUAACCGGCGAUACCCGAAUGGGGAAACCCAGUGUGAAGGCUAAAUACUCCUGACUGACCGAUAGUGAACCAGUACCGUGAGGGAAAGGCGAAAAGAACCCCGGCGAGGGGAGUGAAAAAGAACCUGAAACCGUGUACGUACAAGCAGUGGGAGCACAGGUUUACCUGUGUGACUGCGUACCUUUUGUAUAAUGGGUCAGCGACUUAUAUUCUGUAGCAAGGUUAACCGAAUAGGGGAGCCGGAGGGAAACCGAGUCUUAAUUGGGCGUUAAGUUGCAGGGUAUAGACCCGAAACCCGGUGAUCUAGCCAUGGGCAGGUUGAAGGUUGGGUAACACUAACUGGAGGACCGAACCGACUAAUGUUGAAAAAUUAGCGGAUGACCUGUGGCUGGGGGUGAAAGGCCAAUCAAACCGGGAGAUAGCUGGUUCUCCCCGAAAGCUAUUUAGGUAGCGCCUCGUGAAUUCAUCUCCGGGGGUAGAGCACUGUUUCGGCUAGGGGGCCAUCCCGGCUUACCAACCCGAUGCAAACUGCGAAUACCGGAGAAUGUUAUCACGGGAGACACACGGCGGGUGCUAACGUCCGUCGUGAAGAGGGAAACAACCCAGACCGCCAGCUAAGGUCCCAAAGUCAUGGUUAAGUGGGAAACGAUGUGGGAAGGCCCAGACAGCCAGGAUGUUGGCUUAGAAGCAGCCAUCAUUUAAAGAAAGCGUAAUAGCUCACUGGUCGAGUCGGCCUGCGCGGAAGAUGUAACGGGGCUAAACCAUGCACCGAAGCUGCGGCAGCGAUAACAUCAAAUCGUACCCCAAACCGACACAGGUGGUCAGGUAGAGAAUACCAAGGCGCUUGAGAGAACUCGGGUGAAGGAACUAGGCAAAAUGGUGCCGUAACUUCGGGAGAAGGCACGCUGACAYGUAGGUGAAGUGAUUUACUCAUGGAGCUGAAGUCAGUCGAAGAUACCAGCUGGCUGCAACUGUUUAUUAAAAACACAGCACUGUGCAAACACGAAAGUGGACGUAUACGGUGUGACGCCUGCCCGGUGCCGGAAGGUUAAUUGAUGGGGUCAGCGCAAGCGAAGCUCCUGAUCGAAGCCCCGGUAAACGGCGGCCGUAACUAUAACGGUCCUAAGGUAGCGAAAUUCCUUGUCGGGUAAGUUCCGACCUGCACGAAUGGCGUAAUGAUGGCCAGGCUGUCUCCACCCGAGACUCAGUGAAAUUGAACUCGCUGUGAAGAUGCAGUGUACCCGCGGCAAGACGGAAAGACCCCGUGAACCUUUACUAUAGCUUGACACUGAACAUUGAGCCUUGAUGUGUAGGAUAGGUGGGAGGCUUUGAAGUGUGGACGCCAGUCUGCAUGGAGCCGACCUUGAAAUACCACCCUUUAAUGUUUGAUGUUCUAACGUGGACCCGURAUCCGGGUUGCGGACAGUGUCUGGUGGGUAGUUUGACUGGGGCGGUCUCCUCCUAAAGAGUAACGGAGGAGCACGAAGGUUGGCUAAUCCUGGUCGGACAUCAGGAGGUUAGUGCAAUGGCAUAAGCCAGCUUGACUGCGAGCGUGACGGCGCGAGCAGGUGCGAAAGCAGGUCAUAGUGAUCCGGUGGUUCUGAAUGGAAGGGCCAUCGCUCAACGGAUAAAAGGUACUCCGGGGAUAACAGGCUGAUACCGCCCAAGAGUUCAUAUCGACGGCGGUGUUUGGCACCUCGAUGUCGGCUCAUCACAUCCUGGGGCUGAAGUAGGUCCCAAGGGUAUGGCUGUUCGCCAUUUAAAGUGGUACGCGAGCUGGGUUUAGAACGUCGUGAGACAGUUCGGUCCCUAUCUGCCGUGGGCGCUGGAGAACUGAGGGGGGCUGCUCCUAGUACGAGAGGACCGGAGUGGACGCAUCACUGGUGUUCGGGUUGUCAUGCCAAUGGCACUGCCCGGUAGCUAAAUGCGGAAGAGAUAAGUGCUGAAAGCAUCUAAGCACGAAACUUGCCCCGAGAUGAGUUCUCCCUGAGACUU